UACAUAUAGUUUCAUUCACUCUUUAAGAAGAAACAAGUUAACACCCCAAAGAGCUGAAAACAUGGUAUUUGUGCACAAUAAUCUUAGUCUUUUAUCAAGGAAGAGCCCAAGCUACAAAGAAGGUGUUACUCAAAUGUGGGACAUUGGAUGAGAUGGAUUUGAUUGCUUAGGUGAAGAAGGUGUUGGGAUGCUUGAAAUUGCUAACCUUUGUCUAAAUGAACCAUCAUUGGAGGUGGCUUUAUGUACCGACGAAGACAUUACAAAUAUUGUAGUUGACUG
RNAcentral lists this long non-coding RNA (279 nucleotides) under Prunus dulcis (almond). RNAcentral's name for it is "sRNA ncRNA". The record is from RNAcentral. Lineage: Eukaryota; Viridiplantae; Streptophyta; Magnoliopsida; Rosales; Rosaceae.